This is a long non-coding RNA of Synchiropus splendidus (mandarinfish), 609 nucleotides long. RefSeq lists it as uncharacterized. The record is from RefSeq and is a predicted model, not a curated record. The transcript has 3 exons. NCBI's taxonomy places the organism in Eukaryota, Metazoa, Chordata, Actinopteri, Syngnathiformes, Callionymidae.
AUUUAGACAAGAAGAUCAAGGUUACUGGCAUGAUAAAAAAAAAAGAGGAAUUCUCUCCUGGGAACAGCUCAAGAUAAACUUCUGGAGAAGUUCAUCCCAAGGGAACGCAUGCCACAAAGAAGCACGCUCCUCGCGUAAUGCUCCUCAGCCUUGGCAGCAACUGCAUCUCAAAAACCAUAUUUUCCGCUGUUGACAGGCAGUGAGGUCAUUUCAAAGGGAAAACAGAUGGAGGAAGACGAGCGAGACAAGAGACAGACGGAAGAAUGCCUCCAGUGUGUGUCACCAGCGACUGGUCAGUGGUGAGAGACACCCAAAAAAACAAAGUGAAGCCUUCAAGCUUUUGUUGACAGCAGGUUAUAAUUCUUCCUCAGUGCUCAGUGAAAAUGCACGCUGUGUGAGCUAAACCACAGAUCUACAUGAGUAAGCGCCGAGCCUCGCUGAGACACUGGGUGUGACGUGAUAUUCCAUAAUCUUGGCUGCUAAAUGAUUCAUGACAAUCGUUUACGGGGUCUGUAAGAUCAUGUCAGCGCACUUAAUUCUGAUGCCUUGAUCAUCAUUGACCCAGAAUCUCCAUGGGGAGCUGCUGCUCUGACAGUAAUGACUUCGGCA